UCGCCAGACUCCUACGGGAGGCAGCAGUGGGGAAUAUUGCGCAAUGGGGGAAACCCUGACGCAGCAACGCCGCGUGCGGGAUGAAGGCCUUCGGGUUGUAAACCGCUUUCAGCAGGGAAGAUCCAAGACGGUACCUGCAGAAGAAGCCCCGGCUAACUCCGUGCCAGCAGCCGCGGUAAUACGGAGGAUGCGAGCGUUAUCCGGAUUUAUUGGGUUUAAAGGGUGCGUAGGCGGGUUAUCAAGUCAGCGGUAAAAUCGUGGAGCUCAACUCCAUCCAGCCGUUGAAACUGAUGAUCUUGAGUGGGCGAGAAGUAUGCGGAAUGCGUGGUGUAGCGGUGAAAUGCAUAGAUAUCACGCAGAACUCCGAUUGCGAAGGCAGCAUACCGGCGCCCGACUGACGCUGAAGCACGAAAGCGUGGGUAUCGAACAGGAUUAGAUACCCGGGUAC
Molecule: ribosomal RNA, 448 nt
Filed under: uncultured bacterium
Lineage: Bacteria
Description: bacterial SSU rRNA
Rfam family: Bacterial small subunit ribosomal RNA
Source: RNAcentral